GUGGGGAAUCUUCCGCAAUGGACGAAAGUCUGACGGAGCAACGCCGCGUGAGUGAUGACGGCCUUCGGGUUGUAAAGCUCUGUGAUCGGGGACGAAUGGCUGGUAUGCUAAUACCAUAUCAGAGUGACGGUACCCGAAUAGCAAGCCACGGCUAACUACGUGCCAGCAGCCGCGGUAAUACGUAGGUGGCAAGCGUUGUCCGGAAUUAUUUGGCGUAAAGCGCGCGCAGGCGGCUUCUUAAGUCCAUCUUAAAAGUGCGGGGCUUAACCCCGUGAUGGGAUGGAAACUGGGAGGCUGGAGUAUCGGAGAGGAAAGUGGAAUUCCUAGUGUAGCGGUGAAAUGCGUAGAGAUUAGGAAGAACACCGGUGGCGAAGGCGACUUUCUGGACGACAACUGACGCUGAGGCGCGAAAGCGUGGGGAGCAAACAGGAUUAGAUAGCCCGGUAGUCC
This 450-nucleotide ribosomal RNA is filed under the name uncultured bacterium. RNAcentral's name for it is "partial 16S ribosomal RNA". It matches the Rfam family "Bacterial small subunit ribosomal RNA", at positions 354 to 796 of the family's 1533-position model. The record is from RNAcentral.